Molecule: small nuclear RNA, 106 nt
Filed under: Procavia capensis (Cape rock hyrax)
Lineage: Eukaryota; Metazoa; Chordata; Mammalia; Hyracoidea; Procaviidae
Source: RNAcentral
GUGUUCACUUCGGCAGCACAUACACUAAAAUUGGAAUAUACAGAGAAGAACAGCACGACCCCUGCGCAAGGAUGACACCCAGAUUCGUGAAGCGUUCCAUAUUUUU